AACGAACGCUAGCAGCGUGGAUUAGGCAUGCAAGUCGUGCGCGAAAGUCAUUUAUGACGAGUAAAGCGGCGAAAGGGUGAGUAACACGUAAUCAACGUACCCCCCAGACCGGGAUAACCUCUAGAAAUGGUGGGUAAUACCGGAUGGACUUAUGGCUAGGCAUCUAGUCAAUAGUAAACGGUGGCUUCGGCUGCUGCUGGGGGGAGCGGGUUGCGGCCUAUCAGCUUGUUGGUGCGGUAACGGCGCACCAAGGCGAUGACGGGUAGCGGGUCUGAGAGGAUGAUCCGUCACACUGGGACUGAGACACUGCCCAGACUCCUACGGGAGGCUGCAGUCGAGAAUCUUCCACAAUGGGCGAAAGCCUGAUGGAGCGACGCUGCGUGUAGGAUGAAGGCCCUAGGGUUGUAAACUACUGUCACGCUAUAGGAACCCGCAGUCGUUAAUAGCGGCUGCGCUGACCAAAGCGAAAGGAAGUGCCGGCUAACUCCGUGCCAG
This 495-nucleotide ribosomal RNA is filed under the name uncultured bacterium. RNAcentral's name for it is "bacterial SSU rRNA". It matches the Rfam family "Bacterial small subunit ribosomal RNA", at positions 29 to 511 of the family's 1533-position model. The record is from RNAcentral.